RNAcentral lists this ribosomal RNA (1029 nucleotides) under Triticum aestivum (bread wheat). RNAcentral describes it as "partial small subunit ribosomal RNA". The record is from RNAcentral. Lineage: Eukaryota; Viridiplantae; Streptophyta; Magnoliopsida; Poales; Poaceae.
GGAAAACACCCCCGGCGUCCCCCACCUCCCGACCUCCACCAACCCCCGCCGCCGCCCCAAUCCCCUGGCGUCCACCAGCCCUGCGCGUUGCGCCGCCGCCCCCGCUUCCUUCCGGCGCCCCGUCGGCCCGCCUCCUCUGCCGCGCCGCGGACCCGCCCCCUCCGCCGCGCCGCGGACCCGCCUCCUCCUGGCGGAUCCCUCCCGCACGGCGAGCUGGAAGUUCGGAGCGCCACCACCGCUCCCUUCUCUGGCGACCCCUCCCGUACAGCGAGCUGGAUGCAGUUGACCCCCGGGGCUUGGGCAGUUCACCCCAUCCGGCGAGCACGGCCGUCUCCUGCCACCCCCAACAGAUGCGGCCCCGCGGGUCCGAUGGAUGCUCACGCCGGGGAGGCGGUGCUGCUCCGGCAAGUUCCUUCUUCCUCGAGCACGUCCGUCUCCAGCCGCCUUCGAACAACCGCGACCCGCCGAAUCCGACGGAUGCUCACGCGUCCUCGAGUGCGGCACGUCGACAACAACCUCCUUGUUCUCGUUCCUUCCUCCAUCCCCGAGCACAACUCCGACGAGCCCGUCGACAGCGUAUGCAUUCCACUGAGAAAGCAAAAGCGUUGGGUUCAGUCUGAAAAAGUACGGCAGUUCAUUCACCAUAUUAUGUUACCUCUGAACCAGAGAGUAAAUCACAGAAAUGUAGCUCCUUUACUCUGCAGGUUUGUCAUACAUUCAACAUUGGUGGCUUUUGUGCUAUUCUGCUUGAGAAAAAUGAUCUUUGGGGAACUUUGCUAGUAGUAGACACAGAGUGUGCUUUUAAAUACAUACAGAACAUCAUAUCAUUUAUAUUUGUUUGAAAUGCUAUGCAUAUCCGUUAUGGCCGCAAAAAUACGCAUGGUUGACUGGCAGAAGUUCAUAAAGAGUUGUCAUAUUAUUCUUCAGAGUUCAGAUAAUUGUAUUUUGGGCCGCUGGAACCUGAUGGCUCAAGCUUGUAAAAGGAUAUUCAGAAGUUCAAAAAUAAAAAAUAGUGUUAUGUGAUGCUGC